This is a long non-coding RNA of Haliotis rubra (blacklip abalone), 341 nucleotides long. RefSeq lists it as uncharacterized. The record is from RefSeq and is a predicted model, not a curated record. The transcript has 2 exons. NCBI's taxonomy places the organism in Eukaryota, Metazoa, Mollusca, Gastropoda, Lepetellida, Haliotidae.
AGGGACGCUACCGCCGAGUGUGAGACAGCUAGCUGGAGAUUGCCGGUUCUUUUGUCUCAUGCUAGAGCGUCGUCCACGUGCAAAAUGUACGCGUGCAAAAAGUACGAGUAUGAUCUCCGUGCAUGGAAAGAAUGGGCGAUUACUAACGAUCAAAGUGUGAGCUGAAGAGGAGCUACUUAUUUUUACGAUUUAUGUAGAAAAGUGGCAAACACAGAACCCCGACAGAUCUAGUGCAUGGAUUUGCUGAUCGAAGAUACUGAUUGAAAGACAACCGACUGAAGUUGAAUGCUAAACAAUUUGUUUACAUUGUAUGCAGAAUUAAAGACGGAGUUACACUGUUA